RNAcentral lists this long non-coding RNA (574 nucleotides) under Ictidomys tridecemlineatus (thirteen-lined ground squirrel). Its description in RNAcentral is "lncRNA (ENSSTOG00000030839.1)". Lineage: Eukaryota; Metazoa; Chordata; Mammalia; Rodentia; Sciuridae. The record is from RNAcentral.
AAUGCUAGACGCUGGGGGGCAGAGUGUUAGUAGCAGAAAUGCUCCUUUCAGACCAGAGGAAUCUUAGAAGUGGUUCUCCCUCUGCCAGGUGUCGUCUCAGCCUCUCCUCGAUCAACCUCAGCUCCAAGGACCCUCAAGAAAGUUGGAAUUCUGGAGGGAAUUAUGAAGAAAGUUAGAAGCCUCUCUCCAUAUUCCAAGAAGAUGAAUGUAACAGAUGCAGAGUGGAAGGGGAGCAAGAUGGAAAGUGACUAAGAGGUCAUGAAAGUACGCAAAGCUUUAGACAGUCUGUGGACCUUGGGAUGAGGAAGGAGAAAAAUUAAAGCAUGGAGUGUUCCACAUAGAAGGCAUCUCAGUAAAAACUCUGCCUUUUAUUGAAUGACUGGAGGAGUGAUGGCUAACUAAAAUGUAUUGGGAUAACAGAACAAGCACCCGUGCAUCUGUACCAAACAUAGGAAAUAAAACUAUUGCAAAUAUUAUCCGAGCCUCUUGUGAACUCUCUCUCAUUGCAUUCCCCUGAAGUUGGCAUCACUCUUCUGGACGUUUUAUAUUUCUAAUACAUAUGUAUGAAUUCCAU